This is a non-coding RNA of Candidatus Roizmanbacteria bacterium, 1538 nucleotides long. The record is from Rfam. NCBI's taxonomy places the organism in Bacteria, Candidatus Roizmaniibacteriota.
UCCUUUAAGAGUUUGAUCCUGGCUCAGGAUGAACGCUAGCGGUGUGUUUAAGAUAUGCAAGUCGAGCGAAUCCGAUUGUUAGCAUUGAGAGUAUGAGUUUAUGCUCUCUAUGCUGAUAGUCGAUAAGCGGCAGACGGCUGAGUAACACGUAGGAACCUACCCCUCGGUAAGGAAUAGCCCCGAGAAAUCGGGGGUAAUACUUUAUAGUCUCGCAAGAGUAAAGGGCAUAACUGCUCGCCAAGGGAGGGGCCUGCGGCCUAUCAGGUAGUUGGUAGAGUAAUAGCCUACCAAGCCUAUGACGGGUAGCUGACCUUAUGAGGGUGAACAGCCAGAAGAGCACUGAGACACGGGCUCUACACCUACGGGUGGCAGCAAUCAAGAAUCGUUGGCAAUGGGCGAAAGCCUGACCACGCGACACCGCGUGUAGGAAGAAGCUUUUCGGAGUGUAAACUACUGUGGUAGGGGAAGAAGUUCAGUGUAAGCUGAAUUGACGGUACCCUGCUAGAAAGAAGCCGCUAACUUCGUGCCAGAAGCGUCGGUGAUACGGGGGCUUCAAGCGUUAUCCGGUGUGACUGGGCGUAAAGAGUCUGUAGGCGGCCGUUCAAGUUACUUUUUAAAGAUCUCGAUCCAAUCGAGAGAAGGGAAGUAAUACUGUUCGGCUCGAGUUAUCUUCAGGGUAAUCGGAAUUUAUGGAGGAGUAGUGAAAUGCGUUGAUACCAUAAAGAACACCAGUGGCGAAGGCGGAUUUCUAUAAGAUAACUGACGCUGAGAGACGAAAGCUAGGGGAGCAAACCGGAUUAGAGACCCGGGUAGUCCUAGCCCUAAACGAUGCUCGCUAGUUGCAUUUUUCCUUCAAUUUUGACGGAAGGGUGUGGCGAAGCUAACGCGUUAAGCGAGCCGCCUGGGGAGUACGACCGCAAGGUUGAAACUCAAAGGAAUUGGCGGGGAGACACACAACUAGUGGAACAUGUGGUUUAAUUCGAUACAAACCGAAGCACCUCACCAAGGCUUGACAUCCAAAUGAAACUUUGAUGAAAGUCAGAGCCUCCGCAAGGACAUUUGGACAGCUGUUGCAUGGCUGUCGUCAGUUCGUUCCGUGAGGAGUGCCCUUAAGUGGGACAACGAACGUAACCUUCGUCCCGAGUUAUAUUUGUCUCGGGAGACUGCCCCGAUGUCUAUCGGGGAGGAAGGGGAAGCAGACGUCAAGUCAGCAUGACGCUUAUGCCUUGGGCGACACACAUGUUACAAUGAGAUAGACAAAGGGUUGCUAAGCGGUAACGUGGAGCUAAUCCCAUAAACUAUCUCUCAGUAGGGAUUGAGGUCUGAAACUCGACCUCAUGAACGCGGAAUUAGUAGUAAUCGUGGAUCAGCCAUGCCGCGGUGAAUACGUUCUUGUCUCUUGCACACACUGCCCGUCAAGCCAACAAAGUCGGUAGUGCCUGAAGGAUCACAUUUGUGGGACGAAGGCAAGAUCGGCGAUGGGGACUAAGUCGUAACAAGGUACCCGUUCUGGAAGGAGCGGGUGAAUCACCUCCUUU